RNAcentral lists this long non-coding RNA (1271 nucleotides) under Salvator merianae (Argentine black and white tegu). Its description in RNAcentral is "lncRNA (ENSSMRG00000006462.1)". The record is from RNAcentral. Lineage: Eukaryota; Metazoa; Chordata; Lepidosauria; Squamata; Teiidae.
GCAGGGAGAGAGACCCGACGUCGGUCUCCGCAGGCGCGUCGGCUCGAGCGCCAGGCCGCCCGCCUCGCCUUUUUCCCAGGCAUGCAGCAAGGGCGGCUUAGCCAGCCGCGGGAAGAACGGCCGCAAGGGCGGGCACUUCCUUCCUAGGGGCUUUUAUUUAUAAUUAUUAUUUUUAGACGAUUUUUUAAAACUUAGGCAGUGGAAGGGGGGGGGCAGAAAGAGUCGCCUGCGCCCCCGCCCCCCUUCCUUUCCUUUCCUUCCUUCCUUCCUUCCUUCCUUCCUGCUAAAGUUGGAGAGAGCCAGCGCGAGAGCGCGAGAGCGAGGGUGUGCAGAGGGGGCGCACGCAGCGCCGGGAACAUGGCAGGGCAGGCGCGAGGCCGCCUGGCCGUCCGCGGCAUCUGCUGCAAAGGGCGCCCCGCGGCGGCGCAGCAGCCCCCCGCCUCGCUCGCCGGGCGACGACGCGGCUGAACUUCCUCGCCCGCCCGCCGCCCGCCGCGCCGAUCGGAUGCGCCCACGCCCUGGAGGCCGCCGGAGACGCAGCCCUGAGCCUUGCCGGAGGGAGGGAGGGAGCGAGGGAGCCAGCAAGCCAGCCAGCUGGGCGGAGGGAAGGGAAGAGGCGAAGCGAGGGCGACGAGCAGCGGACGGCGGGCCGUCGCCGCUGCCUCCUCCGCGGAAGGGACCCCUGCUUGCCUCGUCGUCCUCCUCCUCCCGCCGGCCGUGGUCGUCGUCGUCAGGCUGGGGAGCGUCGCCGCCGCCGCCGGGGAGAUCCUGGCUUUCCGCCCGCCCUCCACGCCUGGCUCGGCGGCGCUGCGUGUCCUCUGGUGCUCCGGAGGUGAGUAGCAGAAGCAUCCCAGCAAGUUUGGACGUCCUUGGCUUUCGCUUCUGACUACACUUGCCUCGACAGCAUCAUCGGAAGAUUCCUGUGCAAGCCAGCGAGCGAAGGAAGGGGAGGGGGUGGGGAGGGGGGGCUCCUUGGAUCAUGCUUUCAAGGCCUCUGGGAUUCUGCCUCUGCAGCAGCCAGUGAGUCCCGGCGGGGGCCACGGGGCCCAGGCACCCUCCUGCUUGGAAACCCAGCGCGCGGCAGGGGUGCCUUGCCGGAGCCUGGGUCGCCCUGCUUCCGACUCCCUUCCUUCCCUCCAGCGCUCGGCUUCCUUUUUACUCGUGGAGAUUGAUGGAAUGAUGGUGCGGGAAAGGCAGAGCGAUCCUGCCGGGCUCAGUGGGGACUCCUCGGGAGGCAGCGGGAGUGGCAGCAGCGGGGUUCCGGAAGGCAU